RNAcentral lists this ribosomal RNA (445 nucleotides) under uncultured bacterium. Its description in RNAcentral is "partial 16S ribosomal RNA". It matches the Rfam family "Bacterial small subunit ribosomal RNA", at positions 354 to 796 of the family's 1533-position model. The record is from RNAcentral.
GUGAGGAAUAUUGGUCAAUGGGCGGAAGCCUGAACCAGCCAAGUAGCGUGCAGGAUGACGGCCCUAUGGGUUGUAAACUGCUUUUAUACGGGGAUAAAGUCAGCCACGUGUGGUUGAUUGCAGGUACCGUAUGAAUAAGGACCGGCUAAUUCCGUGCCAGCAGCCGCGGUAAUACGGAAGGUCCGGGCGUUAUCCGGAUUUAUUGGGUUUAAAGGGAGCGCAGGCCGGAAGCAAAGCGUGCCGUGAAAUGUAGAUGCUCAACAUCUGAAUUGCGGCGCGAACUGGUUUUCUUGAGUGCAUACGAGGUAGGCGGAAUUUGUGGUGUAGCGGUGAAAUGCUUAGAUAGCACGAAGAACUCCGAUUGCGAAGGCAGCCUACCAGGAUGUAACUGACGCUAAAGCUCGAAAGUGCGGGUAUCGAACAGGAUUAGAUACCCGGGUAGUCC